Molecule: ribosomal RNA, 520 nt
Filed under: uncultured Glomus
Lineage: Eukaryota; Fungi; Glomeromycota; Glomeromycetes; Glomerales; Glomeraceae
Description: SSU rRNA
Rfam family: Eukaryotic small subunit ribosomal RNA
Source: RNAcentral
AGCAGCCGCGGUAAUUCCAGCUCCAAUAGCGUAUAUUAAAGUUGCUGCAGUUAAAAAGCUCGUAGUUGAAUUUCGGGACCAUCAUGUCGGUCGUGCCUCGGUACGUACUGGCAUUGUUGGUUUCUACCUUCUGACGAACCAUGAUGUCAUUUAUUUGGUGUCGUGGGAAAUCAGGACUGUUACUUUGAAAAAAUUAGAGUGUUUAAAGCAGGCUCACGCUUGAAUACAUUAGCAUGGAAUAAUGAAAUAGGACGUUUGAUUCUAUUUUGUUGGUUUCUAGGAUCGACGUAAUGAUUAAUAGGGAUAGUUGGGGGCAUUAGUAUUCAAUUGUCAGAGGUGAAAUUCUUGGAUUUAUUGAAGACUAACUACUGCGAAAGCAUUUGCCAAGGAUGUUUCAUUAAUCAAGAACGAAAGUUAGGGGAUCGAAGACGAUCAGAUACCGUCGUAGUCUUAACCAUAAACUAUGCCGACUAGGGAUCGGAUGAUGUUAAUUUUUUAAUGACUCAUUCGGCGCCUUACG